Molecule: long non-coding RNA, 40200 nt
Filed under: Medicago truncatula (barrel medic)
Lineage: Eukaryota; Viridiplantae; Streptophyta; Magnoliopsida; Fabales; Fabaceae
Description: long non-coding RNA (MTRU_LNC004678)
Source: RNAcentral
UUUUUUUUUUUUUUUUUUUUUUUUUGAUUUGCGAUCUAUCAAAUUCUUACUUGAGUAGUUGUACUUGCAAUGGUUACAAUCUAGAAAACUAGGAUUUAUCUGUUUAGGUUAUGUUUUGAGAAUAAAAUUCUUGAGUAGUUGUACUUGUUUUGGUUACAAUCUAGAAAACUAGGGUUUAUCUGUUUAGGUCAUGUUUUGAGAAUACUCUCAAGAUGGAUAUUUAUAGUCUACCUUGGGCUUGUAUUUCCGUGACUUAGACUCUAGGUCACACCUUUUGCGUUUAUGAUGCGAUCUAGAUUCUUUUAGAAGUUUUUCGAAGGCGACGACUCAGAUGGGGGUGCUAUGCCCUUAAUAUAAUAUUGGUUUGUGAUCUCUAUAAAAUUCUUACUUGAGUAGUUGAUUUCAAAAGUUUAUAUGUAAAGUGAAUGUUUAAAUGCCAAACAUUGCAUUGAACUUAGGAGACCUUCGGAUCAUGGUUCAAAUGUUUUAAACAACUCAAUUGAGACAAACCAUACUCAAUGUGUGAUUUGCUUAAUAACUGAAUCAUACAUGUUAGUUCAUGGUUCAACUAAAUGAACCGCCUAGUUUGGUUUGGUUUUUAAAACAUUGAUAUAAACUUUAAUUGAAAGAUAAUGCAAGAGAAAUACUUUGAAUGUAUAGAAAUUAUUUACCCUGAAGCAUUGGAUAGGACAAUACAAAUUAUAUGUAAAUUUUAACACAUUAAUUUUAAAUAAGUUGAUUACCCUUUUUAUAUAUAUAUUAUUUUAAUAUUUUAAUGUAUUUCCUUUACAUUGCAGGUGCUAAUUGUAUGCUUUAUAUUAUCCACGGCUGGUUAUGCAUCAAUGGCUAUAAUUGGUUACUUAAUGUUUGGUUCCAAAGUUGAUUCACAAAUAACAUUAAACUUACCACUAAACAAAAUAAGUUCAAGAAUAGCAAUAUACACAACAUUGGUGAAUCCAAUAUCCAAAUUUGCUUUAAUGGCAACACCAAUUACAAAUGCUUUAAAAGAUUUACUUCCAAGGACAUACAAGAAUAAUAGAGUGACCAAUAUGUUUGUGAGCACUGUCCUUGUCAUCAGCACUGUUAUUGUUGCAUUGGCUGUUCCUUUCUUUGGGUCUCUCAUGUCACUUGUUGGAGCAUUUUUAAGUGUUACUGCUUCUAUUUUGCUUCCAUGUUUGUGUUACUUGAAGAUUUUUGGAAGCUAUAGUAAAUUUGGGUUUGAGACAGUGACAAUUGUAGUGAUAAUAUUAGUAGCUAUAGCAAUGGGAAUUUCUGGAACAUAUAUUUCAUUUGUCGAAAUAGUACAAAAUUUGCAAUAGGUAAUGUAUUAUGUAGGGCCUAGGAUCAUCUCCCGUAUAGUUUUCACUGGAGGAGGUCCGGUGUCCAUCUCCACCAUUCAAUCUAUUUUUCAUUAAUUGAAACUGCACGUGUAAGAAAAACGCGAGGGCUUAGACUACACAUGAGACAAAUUCCAUGGGAGAGGAUCUCCUCCCGUUAUGUUGUGGACCAUUCUCUCGUGUAUCUCUCCAGUGAAAUCUCGGCCGUUGUAUUUUUCAUCUUGUGAGAAUGAUAAGAAUGUUUUUUCAGAAAUGCAUUUCUAUAAGAAGUUUCAUAUCAACUUUCUUAUAUCAUUUUUUGGCUAAGGUUGUAUAUAUAUUUCAUUUCAUUCAUAGGUAAAUGACUAAAAAUACACAAAAGGUAUAUAUGAGUUUUUUUUUGCGUAAAAAAGUAUUAGUCUAACAUUAGUAUAUACAAAAAAUAAAGGGUGAUAAAUAACUUUUGAAACAAGUAAAAGCAAAAACUGAAAAAUGAAAAUACUAUAUGAUCUUAAAGUAUAGACUCUAGACUAUAUGAACUCAUAUACAACUCCAUCCUACCACAUUAGAAAGCUAUGAUCAUUCUCAUGCUUCAAUCAUUUCCCUUAUAGAGGUUCUAUCAAUCUUAAUUGAAGAAAUAUCUAUAAAUUCUGACAAGAUUGAUUUAAAUUCAUCUCCACUAAGUGUCUCAUUUUCAAGCAACACAUCAACUAAUUUAUCAAUUGCAUCACGAUUAUUCUUUAUGUGAUUCUUUGCAACUUCAUAUGCUGUCUCAAUUAUAUGUCUCACUGAGUUAUCAAUGUCCUCAGCUAAUUUUUCAGACAUUGAAUUUCUUGCCAGCAUUCUUAGCACUACAUCACUGCUCUGAACUGAAGGAUCAAUUAAUGUCCAUGGUCCAAUCUCAGACAUGCCAUAUGUUGUUACCAUCUGUUGCAAAAUAGAAAUCACUUUUGAGAUAAAUUUUAUUUCCAUAAUAGCGUCCUUUUGUUUAAGAUUGAAAUAAAAGUGAUUAUUAGAUACAAUGAUUUAGAGAUUAUUUUUAGAGAUUUUUAUAUAAAGAUUAUAGACCAUUAAUCUUUUCUUAAACCACUUCGCCUUGUCCCAAGACUCGUGCUUGGGGGGCUGUGGACCGCCAAUAUUAAAUUAAGGGCUUGCUAGCUCUCAAUAAGGGCUUCCCUGGCUCUUCGCCCAUGACCUUGAGGGGCGUAUACCGCCUUUCCCAGCUUCUAGAGCGCUCGCCUACUAAGUUGGGGCCUAAGCUACUUAUGGCCCAAGGCACGAAAACAAGACCUAUAAAGGCUAUAAAUACCACCUUUGAGUGCAUUCUCAAGGCAUGACCUAAACAGAUACUAAACCCUAGUUUUAGAGAUUGUAUUCAUCGCACGUACAAUUUCGUAACAAACCGUUUUAUAUAAAGUUAAUUUCGUAACAAACCGGCUCUUAUUAGCAAAAAAAAUUUAAAAAUUAAUUUUUCUCUCAUAUAAUAUGCAACAAAUGUGCUCUUAAUCUAACCUGUCUUGCUAUCUGUGUAAUUUGUUGCAAGUCCCCUGCAGCUCCAGUGGUUAUCUCAGUUUCACCAAAUAUGACUUCCUCUGCAGCUCUACCUCCUAGGCCACCAACUAUUCUAGCAAAUAGUUGAUUCUUGGAGAUAAGAAAAGGAUCAUCACUUGGUAUGAACCAUGUUAAGCCCUUAGCUUGGCCUCUUGGAACUAGAGUAACUUUUUGUACUGGAUCAUGUCCUGGGGUAAGUGUCCUGCAAUGUGGCACACAUCAAUCUAGUGUGUUUCAUGAAAAUUAUAUACUAUUUUUAAAAAUUAACUUGUUUAUAUUGAGUUUGAACUUUGAAGUGAACUGAUUCAUAUUUGCAUAUUUUUACUCUAAGAACAAUUUUGAUGUAAUAUUUAAUACAAAAUUUUCAACUUAGAACGGAAACAAUUUUUUAUUAUUUAUGGUAAAAUUGCAUCAACUGUCCUCUAUAUAAUGUGUUUAUAUCGGCUUGGUCCUUUAAGUUUUUUCCCUGCCAUGCAAAUUUUGAGAAUUAAAGGACCGUUUUGAGAAAAAGACAACAUAAAGGAUCAAUCUGAUACAAGCGCGUAACUUAAUGGACGGCAAAUGCAAUUUUUCCUAUUAUGUUUAGUCAGACCGAAGUUUAAAGACAAUGAAAACGAUGUUACAAUUAAACACUACCAGCAAUAUGGAAAAGUAUAUGAUGUACUUACGCACAAAUAGCAUGUCCAACUUCAUGGUAAGCCACCAAAAUUUUGCACUUGCCAUCUGUCAUCGUGGUUCCUUCCAUGCCUGCGACAAUUCGAUCAAUAGAGUCGUCGAUUUCUUUCAUUGUGAUCUUCUCUUUUUGCCUUCGACCAGCUAGAAUGGCUGCUUCAUUCAUGAGGUUUGCCAGGUCCGCACCGCUGAAUCCUGGAGUUCUCAUGGCAAUGACACCGAGUGAGAUAUCUUUGUCAAGCUUCUUGUUGUUACUAUGAACUUUCAAUAUUUCUUCCCUCCCUCUAAUGUCUGGUAAUCCAACAGUUACCUAUUGUAACAAUCACAAAAUUAUUGUUAGAAUAGUAAAUGCGGUUCUAAAGUAAGAAGAUGAACACACGAGAAUAAAAGGAUUGAUCUUGAGUUCGACGCCUAUGUAUCAAACAGCAUAGUAGCUCCUGUACUUUUCUAUUGUGCAGUAAAUUAGGGUUUAAGGGUAAAAAGCUUCAUUUAAGUACCAUGAUUUAAAUUGCUACAGCAAAGCGUAAAAAGCUUCGUAAAAAGCGUAAAAAUCUUUGUGAUGUCUACAAUAACAUCGCAAACGCAAACUGCAAUUUCAACUGGAUUGUCCAUAUUUUCCUGCAUUUUACUAGAAUAUAAAGGUUUGCAAAGUAACCGCGACCACAAUUUAAAUACCACGGUCCGCUAUGCACUAGUUUCUGCACAUGAAGCCCGAACAUAGACACCGGACACGACACAGACACGUCAACACCAGUAAUAAUUUAAGAAAGUGAACCAAUCAUAUAACCACAUGUCUGAGUGUCACAUACCAGACACACCUGCAAUCAAAAGUGUUGGCGCUACACUUUCAACCCAGUUAUAUCGGCUAAUAUGAGUCAUACUUAUCAAUAUUUCAUCUAUUUAUCUGCUAGAUUUAAACUUGAACUAUAUAAAGGAUUUAAAAAAAUUAGCAGGUAAAUUUACCUGUCUAUCAAACCUCCCAGGUCUAAGCAAAGCCGAAUCAAGAAUUUCAGGUCUAUUAGUAGCAGCAAUAACUAUAACACCAGUAUUACUAUUAAAACCAUCCAUUUCAGUCAACAACUGAUUCAAUGUUUGUUCUCUUUCAUCAUUCCCUCCACCAAUACCAGUACCUCUCUGUCUCCCUACAGCAUCUAUCUCAUCAAUAAAUACCAAACAAGGUGAAUUUUCUUUUGCCUUAUUAAACAAAUCUCUCACUCUUGAAGCACCAACACCGACAAACAUCUCGAUGAACUCUGAACCAGAUAGAGAAAAGAAUGGAACUUUUGCUUCUCCUGCAAUUGCUUUUGCUAACAAUGUCUUUCCUGUCCCUGGUGGCCCUACUAAUAGAACUCCUUUUGGAAUUUUUGCUCCCACUGAUGAGAAUUUCUCAGGGGUUUUUAAGAACUCAACUAUCUCUUGGAAAUCUUGUUUAGCUUCAUCAACUCCUGCUAUGUCCUCAAAUGUCACUCCUGUGUUUGGUUCCAUCUCAAAUUUUGCCUUGCUCCUAAAGUAAAAGGUAAUGAAAACAAAACAAUAUUAAGAAACUGAAGGCAGUCUUAGAUAGUAGUAACUGCAAGUACGGCUGCAAUGGAAAGUUUCUGUGACCGUAUCAGGACUGCAAUCUUUCAUGAUAUCAAGAAUCACGAUGUAGUCUCAAUCGUGACCACAAUUUAAAACAAUGAAGGAAAUUACUUGGAAACAAUUUGGAUUGAUUUAUUUGAACUUAUCUACUGACAUAAGCACGUGUCAAUUUGUUUGAGAGAGCUUAUGAAAAUAGGUUACGACAUGUCCUUUAGUUUUUUCUAUUUCCAUAAGCUCCCCGGAAUCCAAAUUAGCUUAUAAAAACAAUUUAUAGUUGAUAUGAAAAGAGUUUGCCUUUAUUUUAUCUUUUGUUAUAGAAAUAGUCUAUACAUCAACACUAAUCUAAUAAGUGCUUAAUUAACCUUUUUAUUCAAACAAAUCAUAACAACUAACUCAUUACUUAGAGAAUAAUUUUUAUGUACUAUCAGUGUAAAACUUUCUAUAGCGUCAACCGAUCACAAACCAUCACAUUUGUCUGACUUUUAAUUUGAUAUAAUGGAAGUCAAACUUUUACAUGAUCGAACAAUUAUGAUCGACUGACAGUAUAAAAAAUCUUUACACUGUCGGUGCAUAUACGGAAUUAAAUCCUUAUAGUUAUAUGGAAGUUUCACGUGCUACAAUUCAUACCUUCCUAAUCCAAAUGGCAAGUUAGGGCCACCAACAGAAUUAUUUCUAGAUGUCCUAAGGAGUAAAGUACCAAGCAAUAUCAAAGGAAAUGCCAAAUUUCCCAAAAGAUCAAGUAUUGCAACUCCCCAAUUUGUAUCCAUAGGAUAAACACCAAAGUCAAUAUUUUUAUCUUUCAUUUUCCUAAGUAACUCUUGAGGCAACCCUGGUAACUGAAUUUUAACCCUUUGGAAUUUAUCCAAAGUUGUAUUAUAUAUCUCAGCAAUAGCAACUGUUCCAUUCUCUAACAAGUCCACUUUCUUAACAACACCUUCAUCCAAGUAUUGCAAGAAUCUUGAGUAUGAGAUUCUAUUUGAGGUUGAAUCAAUUGGGCUCUCAGGCUCAGCUUUUGUGGGCUUAACAACACAAGAUGAGCCCAAUCCAAUCACACUUGAUGUCAAUAGCUUCCUCUUUGUGACCUUGGUGCCUAACAAAGUUGGUGUUUCUUUGUUGUUGGAUUUUGUAUGGUUGGUGUCUUUGUAAAUGUUUUGAGGCUUGAAGAUUAAUGUGGAAGGCAUUGAGAGGGAUAGAGUAGAAGACAUUUUCUAACUUAUUUGAUGUUAUACAAGAGUAUGGUUUUGUGAUUACACUUUUUUUUUAGUUAGUAACUUAAGAAGUGUGCAAAAAUUGAUUCAGAUGAAAAAGUUAAGUUAGUUUAAAAAGAGAGUCAGAAACAUAAGAAACUUCUGGUGCCUUCAAUUUGGAAUUUUCUUAGUAUGAUUUUUGUUAUUUUGUCUUGUUUUUUGUUCAUGAAGGGUCUUGUAUGUUCCUCUUUCUAAAGAUCCUUUGUUUUAUUUUCUUUGAUUGUUUUGAAAAGGGGGAUCAAUGGAUAUGAUUGUUCCAUGCAAAAAGCAAACAAUGGAGAGAGUUGUAAAUGAUAUCAUCAACACAAGUUAUAACCACACACUUGGAAGAAGUUGAUGGGGAACACAUUGUUAUGUUGUUAUUUUCCGUUUGACUUGCAAAGAAAGAUGCUGAAAUUAUGAAUGGAUAUGAUUUGACUUGGCAUUUUCUAGAGAAUGAAUUGGGUUAACAAAGACAUUAGCUACUCAUAUUUGUUUAACAAAAAUGUUGGUUGACACUUAUAUUUCUCCUACCUCGUUAUACAUAUGAUAUGACAUUUUAGUAGAAGAAACAAUGAAUGAGAGUGUUAGAAAGUCUCUAAUAGGGAGGCAUUUAGAUAAUAAGGACAUCAACUUGUUAAAGAUCUUUAUUAAAGAAAAAAAAUACUAUUUAUUAGUUACCAUCAAUUAUAUAAAGAUUCUCUCUCCUCAACAACCAACGAGUCUCACAAUCAAAAGAAUAAAUAAAAUAUGUAUAAUUUGUCUAUCUUUAAUUUUUCUUAUUCUUUUAAAUACACACAUAAAUGACACAAUUCAUAUGCACAUGGUGGGACCUAUUUAAGAACUGUCCGUUGGAGUCUUUAUUUAGGUAUUAUCAUUGGAGUGAUUUGAUUAUUAAUAAGUACUUUUAUUAAAAUAAUUGUAAAUAAAUGUGUGUACACGUGUGGUCCAUUUAAAAGAUUCUUAUUAGUUUACUAUCAUUGUAGAUACUAUUAGGUGGGGUGGUAAGGGUCACAUGGCCAUGUUUCACAUUUGUGUGUGAUGCUAGAAGAUGUGUGUGCCACCUAUAAUGAUCAAAGUAUCACCAUUCUUUGUUUAAUUACAACAAGGUGUAAUUAAAUUAAUAUUAGAAACACUUUAUUUUCCUUUAAAAAAAAUUGUUGUAGAAAAACUAUUUCAUGUAAGAAUUUUGGAGCACCCCUUCCUUAUAAAUAUGUUCGACCAUCUUGCCCAUUCGCCUUCCUUCCAUUAUGCCUUGAUAUAAUUCUCGACUUCACAACACCAAUUUCGCCCAAUUCAAAUAAUUUUGUUUCCAUCACCUUCUCUUUGUCGUCUCUGCACCCCCUGUUUUGUUUAAUUUUCUCAAUGGAUAUUUGGAAAUCCUACUCCCCAAGCCACCUAUGAAAAUUGAUAUUCACACUUCUAACAAGGCUGAAACACAACAGAAAAAGACGUAAAUGUCCAUCGGCAGUUAACUGCCACCAGUUAAAAUCCAUCGAUAGUUAACAGUCGAUGAGGUUAUAUUGGUACUGGUGUUUCCUAGCAUUGAGUGAAGUGUGAACAACAUUCUUCGCCACCUAUUUUAUGGCCAUAAAAUUGGCCCAAAAAUAGCAAGGGGAAUAUGGGCCUUUGCAAGAAUAAGCCCAACCCUCUCUAUAUUAUUUUCUCCCAAAAAAAUCAGACCCGCAUGUGCUCCUUCCCCAAGUCAGACAUGUGAACAACACCCACACCCCACAAAGUUGCGUGAAACAUACCUCCUUCCCUCACAUCACAUGUUGUAGACACCUCAUAGGUCUUCUCCCUCUGCUCAACUUCUCUUUCUUGUGCCAGCUUUUGCACUAUAAUUGGCACUGUUGUCAACCUAGGACCCCAUUCGCCCCUCUUUUCCUGAUCAUCCAGAAAAUUAUUUUUUCCCUCCUUCCCAUUUGUACCCAAAUUGUAAAUUGACCUAUCCUCUAGUCUACACCCGCUAUUCUGAACUUGUAAAGCCAUACCUGACCCAUCGCCAUCUAAACUCUCAUCGAAAAAAUUAUGAGAACCCAAGUCAACCCACACAGCUUCGCCGGAAGCCACAGAUGAACCAUCACCCUCAAUCGAACUACCUUCACUGUUGUUCCUCCGCCCAUUCAUCCACCGUAAAUCUUCUUCCUUCACCCAUAUCUUGUACCUUAUACCUACAAUUGAAAUGGUGAAAGAUCCACCUAUUAACCCCAUUUUAAGAGAAAAACACUAGGAUCUAUGCCACAUCUAGAUGGUUCCUUUGAAUUGUAUCACUGUAAAAUCUAUGAAUUCUCUGAACUUUGAAUCAAGAAGGUUGAAGAACCCUUCCUCUCAUGCAUGAAGGGGGAUUCCAAACACUUGAAGCCAUACUCUUCUCCUCCUUGCCACUUUCUCUCGAGACCAUUUUAUGAUAUCCUUGAAAUUUGACUCCCACAAUCUUUUGUUCACAUAAGAGUUCUCUAGAUCCUCCAACACACUCUCACAAACCAUAACUUCCAUCAUCGAAAAUAACUUCCCGACCGUCUGAAACUCAACAUUUGCAGAUGUACCAACACAUCUUUUCUCCACAGGAUUGCUCAUAAUUUGCAGUUUCUCAACCCUUUCAAAACGUGCCCUAUUGAUCUUCGGCUUCCUCCCAUCGAACCAAACAUCCCCCAGCCUCUUUUCAAGCUCCUCUUCAUUGUUCACCUCCUUAAACAUCACAAAAUCAUAUUUUCUCCCUCAUUGAUCCCUCUUUUGAGGAAUAUAGACUUUCCCCACCUCCCAUAUUUAGCAAAAAGUUUCCAUAACUCUUAUCAUUUUUACCUCAUCUUAAAAGUUAGUGAAGAAGAAGGGGAUGGUAACCUGAUCAAGAUUAUUCACAUAACCUUUCCUCCUUGUCGGGUGUGCAUUUCUCGCCUUUUAAAAAACCCAUAUGGGCCCCUUUUCUCCUUUGUUUCUCUCUCAUCUCCCUAGAUUUUAAUUUAUUUAUAACAUAAAUGAUUAAAUUGAAAGAAAAAAAAAAUGACAAAAAUGUUACCUAAAAUUAAAUCAAGGAACAAAUUAUGUAAUUUUGUCUUGAUUUUCAAUAACAUCAAUAAUAUAGUAGACAUAAUAUAUACUCUUAUUUAAAAUCCUGUCAUGACUUGUUUGGUAGCUUAGUUGGUGGUUCUGUUAACUUUGUUAAUCGCUCUUCUAAUGUAGCUGCUCAUGAGCUUGCUCAGGCCCAAAAUGCAUAGGAUCACGUACUUAGAUGAGGAAUGCUCCUCUUAAAGUCUGGUCUUUGUUCUCUCUUGGUUUGUUACUUUAAUGAAAGAGUGGAUUGUAAAAAAAAAAUAUAUAUUCCAGAUGACAUAGAAACAACCCAUAAAAAAGGAAAACAAGAGAAAAAAUGAGAAAAAAAGAGUUGGUUGAAACUAAAUAUAUUUUUAAUAAUGGUUUGGUGAUUCUAAUGUUUUGGCAAAUAAAAACAUGAGUGAUAUAGACAAAGAAAACAUGAGAAUAAUAAUCAGUUAUUGUUUUAAUAAUUUUUAUUUGAAAAUAAAAAAUUAGAUGAUUUGGAUCAUAGAGCUCCAAGGUUAGAACAUAUCUCAAAAUCUACAGAAAUUGACAAAUCUAUUAAGAGAUUACCCUCAUGGAUUAGAUGGUCAAAUUUCUUACCAAGUGAAGUAGACAGAUAUCAAAUUUACCACAUAUAACACUUUAUUAACAACUAAAAUGUAAGUGACCACUUACAAUUCUUAGAUAAUGUGAAUUGAAUUUAAGAUGUAUGUCUACGUAUAUGACUGACUCAAUAAAAAAGCAUGUGGUUUGUUGUAUAUGACGUUCAAAAUAAAAUUUGAACCAAACUGAAUCAAAUCAAUGUUGUCAGGGUUGGAUCGGUUGGUGUUGUUUCUUAAUGCAACUAGACCAUCGACCCGUGGUAACUAGGGUUGGGAAUAGGCCAGGCCAGGCCAGGCUUUGAUAGGCCUGAGCCUGGCCUACGAAAAAAUUUACAGGCCUGAGCCUGGCCUAUGGCCUUUCAUAGGCCUAUUAUUUUGGCCUGGCCUGGCCUAUUUAAAAGCCUGGUCUGGCCUGAAAGCCUAUUUACAGGCCUACUUACUAUUAAAGUCACUAAACAUUCCAUUUUAUCUACUUUUAAAUAGGCUUAAUAGGCUUCAAAGCCUAUUCCAGUGUAAGAUUUGUCUAUCACUAUAAGGCCUUAAAAACAUAUUUCACUAUAAAGCUUUAAAGCCUAUUUAAAAAGUCCAUUAUGAAGCCUAACAUGCAUAAACAGGCCGGCCUAUUAGGAUUCAUAGGCUUUUUUUAUAGCCUAAGCCUGACCUAUUUACUUAAAUAGGCUUUUUAAAAAGCCUAAGCCUAGCCUUUUUAAUAAACAGGCCAGGCCAGGCCAGGCCAGGCUUAAACAGGCCAGGCCAUAGGCCCCUGUAGGCCGGCCUGGCCUAUUCCCAACCCUAGUGGUAACGUAAUAUUUGACGGUAAUAGGUAACAAAAUAGUUUAGAUGAAUGUCAUGAUUGUCAUAUAAUAUUUCAUAAUAUUAAGAAGCAUAGAUGUUGGUAUUGUACCAUAACAUAAUUUUCGAUGACAUCGUCCUUGAUACCGUAAUGUAACAUUAUAGGUUAAUUACAGGGACGGAGCUAGGUACUAAUGAAAAGGGGCAGCCGCCACCCAUGAACCCCGAUAGGACUCAUGUGCAUAUUAACCGUUCGCCACCCAUGCUUUCAUAUCCACUUGGUUCACUUAUACUAAAUUUUAUUUUUUUAAUUAAAGGUCCGCUCAUGUUCUCUUUUUUCUUACCAUCCACUCAUAUUUUUUUUUAUAAUAAUUAAUAAAUAUAGCAUAUUGAAUUGAUCAGUCUAUUAAGUUUUAUUCCUAUUUUCAAGUGGAAGCCAACAACGUUUGGGAAAUUAGGGGUGAUAGAGAUACCCUAAAUCAUACAUUCAAGAACAAUUAUAUUCUAAAGUUCCAAUUUCUAAAAAUUUCAAGUACCGCAACACCUCAAGAUUUAGUAGUAUAUAUUUGUUAUUGUUUAUCUUGCAAACAAAGUAGGAGCAAAGAAACAAAAUAGGAGGAAACUGUUAUAGGAUGGACUCCGUUUAGUGAAAACAAAGUAGCAACGAUGAGUUGAAAAUAGGAGCAACGAUUAUAGGAUGAAGCAGUUAGCGUCCGGGUUAACUUUAAUAAAUAAGAGAUAAGAGAUCUCUCCGUUUGAAAAUAAGAUUUUGAUUAAAUUAACUAAAUUCAAUAGGUUUAAUUAAACAGGGGUAAUACAGUAAAAACAAGCAUAGAAUUUAGGUUAAAAUUAAGGCAACAGUUAACGUCCGGGUUAACUUUAAUAAAUAAGAGAUAUGAGAUCUCUCCGUUUGAAAAUAAGAUUUUGAUUAAAUUAACUAAAUUAAAUAGGUUUAAUAAAACAUGGGUAAUACAGUAAAAGUAAGCAUAGAAUUUAGGUUAAAAUUAGGGCAUCAAUUAACAUCCAGGUAAACUUUAAUAAAUAAGAAAUAAGAGAUAAGAGAUCUCUCCGUUUAAAAAUAAGAUUUUGAUUAAAUUAAUUAAAUUAAAUAUGUUUAAUUAAACAGAGGUAAUACGGUAAAAGUAAGAUUAUGGCAACAGUUAGCGUCCGGGUUAACUUUAAUAAAUAAGAGAUAUCUCCGUUUGAAAAUAAGAUUUUGAUUAAAUUAAUUAAAUUAACUAAAUUCAAUAGGUUUAAUUAAACAGAGGUAAUACAGUAAAAGUAAGCAUAAAAUUUAGGUUAAAAUUAGGGCAAUAGUUAACGUCCGGGUUAACUUUAAUAAAUAAGAGAUAAGAGAUCUCUCCGUUUGAAAAUAAGAUUUUGAUUAAAUUAAUUAAAUUAAAUAUGUUUAAUUAAACAGAGGUAAUACAGUAAAAGUAAGAUUAUGGCAACAGUUAGCGUCCGGGUUAACUUUAAUAAAUAAGAGAUAAGAGAUAUCUCCGUUUGAAAAUAAGAUUUUGAUUAAAUUAAUUAAAUUAACUAAAUUCAAUAGGUUUAAUUAAACAGGGGUAAUACAGUAAAAGUAAGCAUAAAAUUUAGGUUAAAAUUAGGGCAACAGUUAACGUCCGGGUUAACUUUAAUAAGUAAGAGAUAUUAAAAUCGAGUUAAAAUGAUAAAACACAACAUAUUUUCAACAAUGUUUCCGACAAUGCUUUAAAUUUCAUCCAACAUUACAAUUUUAUUUUCACUAAACAACAUAGACCAAAUUAAAAUAUGGAUAAAAAGUAAUCUUAUUAUGUAAGAAAUGUAAAAGACUAAGAUUUUAUCAUUCUCUAAAAGUUCAAUUAGCACGUAAAUAUAUUUUUUAAAAAGAAACUUAACAAGAGAAAAAAAUAUGUCAUUUUAUAAAAGUAUUCAUUGAGUUUCUAUGAGUAUUGGUCUAGAUGACAUAGAUUUAAUUAGGAUUUUUCUUGUGUUGUGGUUUGGUUUGGUUCGAUUCGUAAUAAAACCACAAACCGAACUAAACAAUGCGAUCGAGGAAAAAAGUGAUUAGAAUACAUAGGAACCAAAUGCGCUUUUUUGAGGUUUCGAUUUAGAUUGGUUCUAUUUACGAUUUUCGUAUUGGAUUGAUUCAGUUUUAAACAUCUUUACUUUAAAUUUUAAAAUUUAAUAAAAAAGUAAUUUUUGUUGUUGCACUUUAAGUAAAGACUUUAGAGACCAUGUCCACACAGUUGCGUGUAAUAUUUUGAUCUUUAUAUACAUAGAUAUAUAAGAUGUAUAACACAAUAGAUAUUUUGUCAAAAAACACAAUAGAUAUAAAAUACAAAUAACUUUUAUCAUCUAAUUUAUUGUUUAAGUCUACCCGUGCUAAUCCAUAGUGCAAUUAAAUUUUUCCUAGUCAAAUAUCCGCAAUAUGAUAAGCUGAACACAGUAUAUCAACUUCUGCUUAUUCAUUUCAUGUGCACAAUUCACAUUAAUCUUCACUUCUUAUGCUUAUGGAUAUGCCUCUUUUGAUAAGCAAGUGCACAUUUUUUAUUUUUACAGAAUAAGCAAGUGACACAUUGAUGAAUAUGACGCAAAGCUAAAAAAUAUUUAUGUGAGAACACUUGCCUAAUAACUUUAGACCUAGCGAAGAACAGUUAGCACAUCCCACCGCCUAGUUUGGAUGCAAAAAGGAAAGAAAAUAAAAAGAAAGAUUGUUUAAAGAAUGAAAGUGAGUGGAAAGAGUAGAAAGUAAAAUGAUUUUUUGGUUGUUUGGUAUGAGUGAUAGUGAAAAGAAAGUGUAAGGAAAGAAAGAUGAGACUGUUUGUAAAAAGACAAAAAUAGCCAAAAAAACAUUAUAAUAAAAGUGGGACCAAAAUGAUGGAGUUAGAAAUAAAAAAUAAGGGUGUUUAUGUCUUUUCAUUGUAAAACACCCUUUCAUCCCACUUUCUUCACAAAAUGGAGGGGAUUGUUUUUGCACGUGGGGCCCACCAAAAAGUAACUUUCUUUUGCCUCUGACAUAUUAAUCCAAACAAUGGAAAGAAGCAAUAUCAGCCAUCUUUCCAUCCUCAUACAAUCUUUUCUUAGGCUUUGUUUGAAAGAGAAAAGAAAGUAGUAGAAAAGAUAGUAAGAGGAAAUAUUGUUGAAGGAAUGAAAGUGAGUGGAAAGUUAGAUGAUUUUUUGGUUGUUUGGUAUGAGUGAAAGUGACUAGAUUAUGUGAGAAAAGAAAGAUGUAUAUUUAGUAAAAGACAUAACUAUCCUUUUAUAUGUGUAUAUUUGUAGAAUAAAUCUUAAUUUGAUUAUUAUUUUAUUUUUGUCAUUAAUUAAUUUUUAUUAAAAGUUGCCAAUGCAUUAGUAAUAUAUAUAAAAAAAAAUGUUUAUGAAAGAAUAGUAAAAAAAAAGCAAAAAACAAAUAACGAUUUAACCUAAAAGCCCAGAUUAAAAAUAAAAAUGAUAUGUAAAUGUUAAUGUGCAAAACAAAGGGUAGAUACGCCAUUUCUGGGCAUUGAAACUUUUCACCAUGCUUUCUUCGCACUACUGGAUGGAAAAGUUUCAACCCAUGGGCCCCAUAUAAAGUGAAAAUUUCUUUCCUCUCUGAUAGUGAACCAAACCAUGGAAGAUACGGAUUACGGAAAACAUUCCAUUAUAUUUCUAUUUGUCCUCCCUCAAUCUUUAGAACCAAACAGCCCCUUAAUGUUUCUUUGAUACCAAACAGCCCCUAAGAUUCCCUGUCUCAUUAAAGUCAAUGCUGAAAAUUUUGACUAAUCUUUUGAAUAAAACAACCGAAACUGAAAACAGAAAAAAUAUUAUAAAUAAAAUGACCAUAAAUUUAUUUUUUUGACAGAUGACGUUAACAUAAAGUUAUCUUUUUAAAGGAUGAUAAGAUAAAUUAUAUAUAAAAGGAAAAUCAAGUUGACAAAAUUAGUAAAGAUAGCCCAAUAUUUAGUUAGCUCCUAUUUGUUUAUGGGAAACUGGUUAAGAAGGAAAAUAUAGUAGUUUUUGCAUCAAAAAUUGUGUAAUUAAUUUUUCAAAAGUCAAAAAAGUGUCUUUUUUAAUUUAAUUUUUCCUCUUUUAGAUACCGUAACCAGUGCUCCAGGGGCACCGGUUAACAGAACCCUUUGUUUAUAGAUGUAGCACCAUGUAUUUACGAUUAUUGAUAUCUAAUGAUUUUUAUUUUUUUUUGAGAAAAGUAUAUAAUAUCUAAUGAAAUGUUAUAAGCAUAUUUUUCUAUAAAAAUAAAAAUAAAAAAUAGAAACAAGGUGACAAAUUGAACAUUGAACCCUAACUGUUACAACUUUUCUCCUUUUUUAUCUACCAAAGAGGGAGGAUUUAGAGACAAUUUUGACUCGAAAUCACUCCUUUAGAUUGUUUUUCCGAACGUCCACCAUAAACCACCACCAUGAGAGAUAAUAUUUGUUUAAUGUUGGAUGUUAAAUGAAUAUAGUCAUUAAACAAGUGUCCAUGUAUCACCAUCAAAAAAUAAAAGUGUGACUAAAACAACCUGGUCCCCACAAAUGUUUCAUCUUCUUACCGAUGUGAAGAAAAAUGGACAUGGAUUGUCUGCUGUAAAAACAGCACGAUGUUCAGAUUACAUGUUAACAAAACCAACAAUAAACAAUCUCAGCCAUUGGUUCUAGAUCAGAAAGCUAUUAUAAGUAACAGCGUGACACAGUUACAGCGUCUAAUCCAUUUCCAAAAAAAAGAUAGUAUUCUACUUAAGGAAUGACAAUUAGACCCAAUUUCAGUGGGCACCCGCCAUAUACCCACAAUGAUGAAUAAAUACCCACAUUGUUGCUAAGAGUUUGUGUAAUUAUUCUCAAAUUUAAAUUAGUGUGAGUGCUAGUACGGACAAUCUAGUGCCCAACCGACCCCCUGCCCGCACAUUAUAUUGAAUAUAACUAUACUUUAUAUAGUAUUGAAAUUAUUUAAUCCUAAACCCUUGAUAUUAAUUCUAAUAUAUAUGCAAUUGUAUUUUAUACUUUAGAUACUUUUUAUUUGGCUAGAUACUAUGAUGUGUAACAUUUUAUAAGUUGAUUACAUACCGUCUUGUAUUUUUCCUACUUUCCGGAAUGAAAUAAUAUGAGUUUGUUUCUGUAAAAAAAAUUGAUUUAAAAGAUUUUAGAUCAUAUUUUAAUUACAUUGUGAUGUUAUUUAUUGUCUUUUUGUUGUUAAAGUGUGAAUAAUGGAUGCAACUACAAGAACUUAGCAACUUAAGGGUUACGAUGGAGGACCCCAAACUUAUUGCCCACAAGGAUACAUUCUCGGGUAUAACAUUUUUUAUAAACGGAGGUAUGGAGAUGGACACUAUAGUACGCUGCCUAAGGGAUACAUGUUGCCAUCUCUUCUACUUUUUUUGUUUUCCUUUUAUGGCCUUGCAUUUGUAAUAAUGUUGAGAGUAAUAACCCUGAAAACUAAUUAAUAAUUAAAUUAAUGAUCUUAAAUAUUUAAGAAAAUUUAUUGUACUAUUAAAAAAUAAAAUGUACAUUCUAAUGAAUUAAUUUAUUGAGGUUCUAUAAAAAUUAAGUUAAAAAUAAUUUAUACUUUCUUCUUAUAUUUUUCUUUAAGAUCAAUUAACAUAUUAAAUCUACUAACCUGUUUGUUUGGAUUGAUGUUGCGGUGUUAGCUUUAGAUCUUGGAGUGUGAUUCUCUCAAAAUUUCGUGUUCCAUUUUCCCGAUGUCAAUUUCGGUAAGAUAGUUUGACUUCAGCAAUAAAAAAUAAAUCUUCUUUAUUUCCUACUUCUUUCUCUUUUCUUAAUUAAUUAAAUAAUUUUCAUCUCUUUUUCUAUUCUCAAUUUCUUUCCAUAACUGAUCACACCACCCUAUUUUUUUUCACAAAAAUGUUUACGUAAAUUGAGCCUCGGAAACUCACAAGAGUAUUGACAAACCUCAAGACUUAAACAACACUUAAAAAGUUACAACGUACUUAUAGAUAACCUAUAAUAGAAGUUUCCACAUUGAUGACCGAAGUUAAACUCGCACCUUUACGAGAUAAAAGACCAACCUGACAACCUAAUUAAGCUUCACUGGCCUAUUCACAACACCUUAAGUGAACUUAACACAUCUUAUUACUUUUUGACAAUAUGGACAUUUUCUUGAGUACUUUCUUUGUCUAUGAACCACAUACAUCAUUAAAUGAAUGAAUCUAAAAAAUCAAUUUUGUUUAUAUUAAAAAACGGAGGAAGUACCACAUAACAACUUUAGGAAAUAUUUUAUCAACAAAGAUUAACAUAGGAGAUAAAGCCUACACUAGUAAGAUUUACAAUACAAGUUGAAUUUUGUUCCAACAAAAAAUAUACAAGUCGAUGGCAUACAGAUGGCGACAACCAUAAGAGGCAAUCUCUAUGAGAGCAAAUUGAUGUUUGACACAAUUAAAUAUUUAAGUGAUGAUAAGCAACAUCGUAAUCAAAAGCAACAAGUAUCAUCAUAAUAAACAUUGCAAAAUUCCAAAAAAUCUAAACUAUUGCCUAACUUUAGGCAACAUAGGACUGCGAUAAUUAGAUUUUUAAUUAACUAUUCAUUUGAUUUUUUUCAUUAACUAGUAAAAGACACAUGCAAAACUUUCGCACGGGUCACGUAACAUUACGAUAAUUAUAUGAAAAAUAAUUAAAUUGUUUAACACUGUAGAAUGUUCGUAGACAUUAAAUGAAAAUUAUGAGUGUUAAUGUAAUUUUAUUUUUUAGGGAAGAUGAGUGUUAAUGUAAUGUUUUUAUUAAAUAUUUUUCACAUAUACAAAAAUUUGUUGAAGAGUUGAGUCACAUCAGUUAUGGAUUUUAUUUGUUUAUAUAUGCGAAAACAACAUUUUAUGUAGAUAUAUGAGAAAGUUGAUGUGAUAAAGUUUUGAAAAGUCAUGACUAUUUUCAAAAUCAAAAUUAAUGUAGUGCUUCUAUUGAAUAACUCUUUAUUUUAUACGCAAAAGACUGUUCAAUGUUUGCACUGGACCUGUUGUAAAUUUUAUGUACUUUUAUUUGCAUAAACAAUUUUUUAAGUACAUAUAUGAGAAAGUCGAUAUGAUAACAUUUUGAAAACUUAUGACUAUUUUCAAAAUAUCAACAUUAAUGUAGUGUGUCUAUUAAAUAAAUUUAUAUUUUAUAUUUAAAACACCAUUAAAUAUUUAAACCGCACUCGUUAAUGAUUUAUAUAAAAAACAAAUAAAUUAAAAUUUUCAAAAUAACAAUUUUCAAAAACACCAUUAUAUUAGUAGAUCACAAUUGAAAAAGACUGAUUUGUCCGCUUUUCUUUCGUGUUUAAUUGUAUAUAAAAAGAUAUCAAUUUAAUAUUAAUUAUGAUCAAAUAAUAUUUUGCUCAAAAAAAAUAUGAUCAAAUAAUUUUCAUAAAUAAAAAAAAAAUAAACUGUUUUCUUUUUUUAUGCGUACUCUAAACUUGUUGCCUCAUUAUUUUAAAAAUAUCCAUCAUUCUAAAAUUGGCACAUCAAUUAAAUCUUUCUUUUUAAAAAACCAAUCAUUUAAACCUUUCUUUUACAAACUGUUUUAUUUUUUGAUGCGUACUAUAAACGUGUUAACUCAUAAUUCAAAUUGGUACACGAGUAUAAUACAUGUAAGGUUUAAGGUUCGAACUUCAGAUGCCAUAAAAAAAAAUUGAUACAUGAGCAUAAACAAGUAUGAAAUUCAGUAUAAGGGAAAAUUUCAGAAAUUUUAAAAAUUGAGGGAUGUUUUAGAAAUUUUACAAAAGGAAGAUCAAAAUGCUAAAUUUGCAAAACCAUAUGAGCUAAGAACACAUUAAAUGAAAUAUCUAAAAUUUAGAGUUGUUAAUGCUGUCAAUGAGUAAUGCAAGAUGUUACCAUCAUUCGUCCACAUCCAAAAAUAUGAUUUAAUUUAAUUUUGUAUUGUAAUUUCUUUUUUGCUAGUUGGUUAACUCAGUUUUUAAUUUAUAUACACACAGUAAAUUAAACAAGCAUAUCAUACUAUUAGAAAGUACUCGAGAAUAAUUAGCAUGAGUCUCUUCUAAUUUAAUCAAAAUCUUGAGUUGGAAUCCAGUUUUGAACAUGCAACAACGUUUAAAUUCUUAAAGAGAGUUCAUAACCUAUUUGAUUUCCACAAGGUUCGAAAGAUUAUUCUUCACAAGUUAUGCACGGAGGAUAUCCGUUUUAAAAAAAUAUAAAUAUUAUUAGAAAGUUGAUCUUGAUCCCUUUAAAUACUUGAAGCCGUCCUGCUUGAAAGUUGUGAAAAGGAAAUUUAGUAUAAAUAAAUGCAAAAUGAUAAUUGAUAAGUAGGAUAUGAUAUCAGCUUGUGCUUAUUCGUUUCUAUGUAGUUGGUGCAAGUUGUACCUACUCGUGAAACCUUUUUUAUGAUAAGCAUGCAAGUGACUACAAAGCAAUAAUUUAAAGGUCUUCUUGACGAUUGCUCUUGGAGCACUCUUUAAGGAUUUUAAAAGAAAAAAUUAUUUUAUUAAAAAAUCAAAUAUUUUGAUUUCCGAUGCAUUGAUUACACAUAUUUUCAUAAUAAAUUUUAAAGGUCUUAAACUAGUGUCUCGAAGGUACGGGUUAACAUUUCCCAUAAUUUAAUAUCAAACAUAAGCCAAUUAUUUAGGAGUGUGUUUUAAUUUUCAGUUUUCAUGAAAAAAAAAAUUAAAGGUCAUGUUAACUUGUAUCCUAAGGGCACGUGUUAAGGAAUAAAAAAAAAAUUUUAUUGGAUUUCUCGAUAUUUUAAUUUUUAAGAAGUCAAAUACACGACUCUUGAUAAGUAUAUUUAUAUAAUAAGUUUCUUAACAUACGACCUUGAGGAUACAAGUUAGUAUUUGCCAAAACUUAGGCACAUAAUCUACCAAACAAUUUUGAAAUUGUGGUUUUAAUAUUCAGGAUGACUCUGACUUCAUUCUCCCAUGUACGAGACCUUAAUGUCAGACGUAUAAUUCUCAUACAAAUGAAAAGAAAAGACAGACAUGAAGACAAAAUAAAGUCAUAAAUACCAACUUGAAAUUCACAAUAAUGGUUUCUUUUUAAUUUGAUGAAAGUGUUUGUCGAAUGAGUGGUGAUAUUUAAACAACUAUUUGAGACAACUUUAAUGAUAAUUUUUUUUUUUUUCUUUUUAUCGGUCAAAUACAAUAGAAAAAAAAAAAAAGAACAGAGAUAAUAAAAACAUAAAAAGAAUAGAAAGAAAAUUGUCAAAAAAUUAUCAUAAAAUAAUUGUACAAAUAUAAUUUAUUUUCACGAAUAUAUAUGACUCCCAACAAUGAUCAAAGCAUGGACUCUUACCAUUUUUAAUAAAGUAGUAAAUUUUAUAAUAAUAAAAAAUGAAAGAGAUGUAAUAUUGUACUCUUGAUUCUUCUUAAUUUUUUUUCUUCAAAAUAUAUAAAUGUUAGUAGAUAGUUGUUAGGUUAACAUUUAUUUAUUCUCGUUCAUGCUCGAACUCAAGAUCUCAAACUCUUUAUCUAUUAGUUCAAAUUAUUACUUUAGCAACCCAACUCAAUUGUUAGUUUAACAAGUGCUUUUGGAACCCUUUGCACAGGGCACUUUUAUUGAAGUCCACAUAAGAUUUUUUUUUUUAAUUGUAUAUUUAACAUGUUAGAAACUUUAAAAAUAAACCUUUUCUACAUGAGAUUUAUAAAUAAUUUUCUCUUUUAAAUCAUUGACAAAUGUCCUAACGAUACUUGUUAGCAUAAUUCAUAAGUUAAUAUGAAUAAUCAAUGUAGUUAUCUCCGACAGCUAGCAAAAUUGGAGUACACCUAUAACAUGAUAUGCUAUCGAGUGAUGAUGAUUGUGAUUUGUGAUGGGCUAUAAUGUAUCCAAUUGUAUCACGUUUCUUCUCAUUUUUCUUCCCCAGCUGUUUUACCCUAAACUUUUCCUUUGAAAUUUUAUAAAGGUCACAUUCUACGUGUUAUUUAUUAUUAAUUAAAAAAACGUGCAGUGAAUCUCCUCCUAAUGUACUUCUAUAUAUACUUGUUCAUUCUUUCAAAAAUAUAUACUUGUUCAUCCAACUUAAACUCUUCUCCCAUAUUCUUGCAAUCUCAUUUAUUACUUGAAAGGUGACAUUGUUUUUUUUAGGAGGAUCACAUUGUAUUUUGUUGAGAAGGUUAGUUCUCUCAUUUUAAUUUCACUUGUUUCUUGAUUAUCUUAAUUAAUUUUUGGGUUCUUGCUAACACACAUUUUAGCAUUUUCCUUAAUUUCUCUAUUUCUAAUUUAAUGUAUUCAUUUAUGAUUCUGAAACUUUUUUUUCCCAUAAACAAAUAAUAUUAUUAUGACAUCCAAAUAUGAGACAAGGGAUCAAUAUAUGAAUAUGUAACUUCAAACCGAUAGGUACACGAGACUUGAAAAAACUGGUCUAAAAGUACCAUUUUAUAUGACAAAUAUUAAUAUUAAAAAAAAUUGUUUUGAGAAAUUAAUAUUUAUGAAUAAAGAUUUCAGCACAAAAUGGUGAACAAGGAGCUGGAGGUUUGCACAUUGGAUGGAUCUAUUGAUAGCCACGGUCAUCCUGCUGUUCGAGAGAGAACUGGAACUUGGUUUGCAGGGAUUUUGAUUUUAGGUAACUUAAUUCAUCAUCACUUAAAGAAAUUAUAUUUUAACAUACAAAGGGAAAUAUCUGCGAAUACAAAUUUUAUAAAAGUAUAUAUUAAUUAAUGUUGAAUUUUGGCAUUAUAUUAGUGAACCAAGGGUUGGCAACUCUAGCAUUUUUUGGUGUGGGAGUGAAUUUGGUACUAUUUUUAACAAGAGUUAUGGGUCAAGACAAUGCUGAUGCUGCAAACAAUGUGAGCAAGUGGACAGGGACAGUUUACAUCUUUUCUCUUCUUGGAGCUUUCCUCAGUGACUCUUACUGGGGAAGAUACAUCACUUGUGCCAUUUUCCAAGUCAUCUUUGUUGUUGUAAGUAUAAUACUUUAUUUCAAAGGGUUAAAUAAAUAUAUUUUAAUAAUUUAUUUUAAAGGGUUAAAUAUAUUUUUAAUCCUUUUAAAUAUACAAACUUUUAUUUUUAGUCUCUUUAAAAAUUUCUAUUCAUUUUUUUUUUUAUCUCUCUAACAUUUAUGUUUUUAAUUUUAGUUUCAUCUUUUCAACAAAAGUUUAGGUUUCAUAUUUUGAACAACUUUUUUUAAUGACAUAACCGAUAAGACCCUAAAAUAUCAUUACCUUUUUUUUUGUUGAAAGAAGACCAUAAAAUAUCAUUAGUCUAACAAUUCCACUAUUUAAUCUUUAUUAAUUUAUCAAUAACUUUAAAUUAAAGAUUGAAUUAUUAAACUAAUGAUAUUUUAUGGUUUUAUCAAUAUAAAUCAUUAAAAAAAGUCGUUUGUGACAUGAACUAUGAACUUUUGUAAAGAAAAAAAAUAAGGACUAAAACUGAAAACAAAAAUUUAAAGGGAACAAAAAUAAAAUUAAAAAUUUUAAAGGGACUAUAACUAAAAUUUAGUAUAUUUAGAAAAAUCAUAAACAUAGUUAACCCUAUUUUAAAAAAAAGUUAUUCAAUUCUACAAAAUAUUGAGAUAAACAUAUAUUAUGAGAAUUAAUAAAUUUCUAUAUGACAGGGUUUGGUGGCAUUAUCAUUGACAUCUUACAUCUUCCUAUUGAAACCUAAUGGUUGUGGGUCUAAAGAAUUACCUUGUGGAACACAUUCAUCAUAUGAAACUACUUUAUUCUAUGUAUCCAUUUAUCUAGUAGCCUUAGGAAAUGGAGGAUAUCAACCUACCAUUGCUACAUUUGGUGCUGAUCAAUUUGAUGAAAGUGAUCCUAGUGAACAACACUCAAAAAUAGCAUUUUUUAGCUAUUUUUAUUUGGCUUUGAACAUUGGAUCACUCUUCUCAAACACCAUAUUGGACUAUUUUGAAGAUGAUGGACUUUGGACUUUGGGAUUUUGUGUCUCAGCUGGUUCUGCUGCCCUAGCAUUGGUUUUGUUUCUUUGUGGCACAUCAAAAUAUAGAUACUUUAAACCUGUUGGAAACCCUCUUCCUAGGUUUUGUCAAGUUUUUGUUGCAGCAAUAAGAAAAUGGAAGGUCCAAAUGUUCGACGGUGAAGAUAAACUUCAUGAGGUUGAAGAUUGUUUAUCCAAUGGAGGGAGAAAAAUGUACCACACACAAGGCUUUAGGUAAGCAUUUUAGUUAUGGAUUUAACUUGUGAGUGAAGUUACAGUUACGUGGAAAACCUUUAUAUUGAAGUAAAAUACAAACAAAUAUGGUUGAUGCGGCUACAAUUGCAUUUGUGAUGUGAUUGCAAAGACAUCUAAAAUCGUUAUUGUAUGUUUGUGAACUCGAUUUAAAACUAUAUAUGAUUUUAAUUCGUAUAUGUAACACAAUGAUAUGAAUUUUCUUAUAUGAUGCUGAAAAUGAAAAAUCUUGAACAUAGAACAAUAUAUCAUAUAUAUGUAUAUAUAGUCAAGAUCAUAGGUUGUAUAAUUGUUAUAUGAUUGCUUAAAAUAAUCACAUGACUUUAUAUUUUAGUCUUGAUUAUUAUGUUUUGUAUAGGUUCAAUUUUGAUGAUGAAUUGUCACUAAUGGAAUUUAACCUAAUUUUGCUAGGUUUUUAGAUAAAGCAGCAUUUAUUACACCAAAAGAUUUGAAGCAAAUGGAAGAAAAUAAAUGCAGUCCAUGGUUUCUAUCAACUGUGACACAAGUAGAAGAAGUGAAAUGCAUAUUAAGAUUACUCCCAAUUUGGUUAUGCACUAUAUUAUUCUCUGUUGUCUUCAGUCAAAUGGCAUCACUCUUUGUGGAACAAGGUGCUGCAAUGGAGACUAAAAUUUCCACUUUUCACAUCCCUCCUGCAAGUAUGUCAAGCUUUGACAUUCUCAGUGUAGUUUCCUUCAUCUUCAUCUAUCGGAGAAUUCUCGACCCUCUUGUUGCUAGAUUUACAAAGAAAUCCAAAGGUAUCACCGAGCUUCAAAGGAUGGGAAUAGGUCUAGUAUUAGCAAUCAUAGCAAUGGUUUCAGCAGGAUUAGUAGAGAUUUUCCGGCUAAAGUAUGCGAUAAAAGAAGAAAAAAAUUGUAGCCAUUGCGAAGGGACGAGUUCAUUAUCGAUAUUUUGGCAAGUACCGCAAUAUGUACUAAUAGGAGCAUCAGAAGUUUUCAUGUAUGUUGGUCAAUUGGAGUUUUUCAAUUCACAGGCACCUGAUGGAUUGAAAAGCUUUGGAAGUGCACUUUGUAUGACUUCAAUAUCAUUAGGAAACUAUGUUAGUAGCUUGCUUGUUGCAAUUGUGAUGAAGAUAUCUACUAGAAAUGAAGGCAUGCUUGGUUGGAUUCCAGGGAACUUAAAUAUGGGACAUUUGGAUAGGUUUUACUUCCUCUUAGCAGCACUCACUGCAGCUGACCUUCUAGUGUAUAUUGCAAUGGCUAGGUGGUAUAAAUAUGUUAAAUUUCAUGGAAACAAUAUUGAACAAGGUAACAAUAUUGAGGAAAAUGUUGUGUAAAACCCCUUGGGGUGUAUACAUCAUGAGAGGGUAAAGAGAUAAGAGAGAUAUGUGAUAUGUGUGAUUGAUAAAUUUGUGAUGUGAUUGAAAGAGAGUUAGAAAAAAAAUAAGGUGUUGAAUGAGUGUAGAAAGUGUACACGUUAAUUGUUGUAAGAACAAUGUCUAAUAUUAUACCUAAGUCUUAUCGAUCUUCCAAUUGUAUUAUUUACUAUGAUACUAGAGAAAUUCAUUUCUCAGUGGAGUAAAGAUAUUAUAGAUUGUAUAUGUUGGUGGUUUUUAUCUAUAAUUAUAUUAUAUUAGAAAAAUAUAUAUUUGAUUUUCUUAGCAUAUUUGGAUCUCAUUUACAUCAACUUUUUAAAUUAAUUAACAUUCUAUGAGGGAGGUGUGGUUGAUUGUUCCUUUUGCUUACUUCGCAAGUUAAAAUAAUUUCUCAAAAAAUUACGGGUGGAAUAUCGCAAUAGGUUGUUCGUAAUAUUUCACUUUGGUAGGACCGGUCCAACAAAUUAAGAGGUCUAAAGCAAAAAAUUUAUUGUGGCUUUUAAAAAUAUUUUCUUUAACAAAAUAUUUAUAUAAAUUCAAUUUUGCUGAGAACAAAAUUUGAAUUCAUGAUCAAGAGCAAUUGAAACAUUUUUGAUAAUCAAUUAAGUUAUGCAAAUACCUAUGAUUUAUCUAUCAUAUAAUAUACUUAUAACAAAAUUAAUUUUUUAGAGACCUUUCUUUUCACCCAAAAUUUUAAAGCCUAAAACUCUUGAUUGGUUUGCUUAACUCUUAGACCGACCCUGCACUUUUGGUGUAAAGAGUUUGAAUACCCAUCUUACUCCAUUAAAAAUAAAAUUGCUUAUAGACACAAAGCUACAAAGGUAGUUCUUGCCUGUAAAGACAUCUUUCAUAUGAAAAAAUAAAAAUAAAAAUCUGGUAUGGCUAUGGUCAUGCUAUGUCAUAUGGGGGAAUUUUCCCCCAAGGGUAAGUUUCAGCACAAAAGAUCACUUACAAUCUUUGUGUUUGAAGGUUAAUUAGCUGCAGUCUUUUUGUUGGUUGAAAUCGAGAUACGUUACUUUUAAAUUUGCUUAUUAUUUAUGGCGGUUUAACCUCAUUCCUUAUUUAUCUAUUGUAAAUUAGAAUUUUUCCUCUUAUGUUGUUUUCGACUUGAAUUUGAUGUAACUGUUAUUGUUAUAAGCUCUUUUGGGUACAUCUUAUGAUGGAAGAACUUAUUUGGUUGGGUUUAUUAUAUUUUAUUUUAGUCUCUUAAAAAAAAAUAUAAUACUAUUAAAAAAUAAAAUGUACAUUCUAAUAAAUUGGGGUCCUAAAGAAAUAAGUUAAUUUUGACGGUGAUAUGUAAAUCUAAGUGUAUUCUUGUAUUCUUAAAAAUAAUUUAUUCUUUCUUUUUCUAUUAUUCUCUAACAUCAAUUAGUAUAUUAAAUCUACUAACUUAUUUGAGUUCACCUCGUGGUGCUGGUUUACAACUUCGGAGUGUGUUUCUCUCAAGAUUUUUUGUUUGAUUCUCCCUUAUGUCAAUUUUGACGGGUUAGUUUAUCUUUAUCAACAAAAAAUAUACUAUCUACUAUGUUUCUUACUUCUUUCUCUUAUCUUAAUCAAUUUCAUCUCUUUUUCACUUCUCAAUUUCUUUCUAUAACCAAUCACACUAUCUUGUUUUCUCGCACAAAAAAGUCUAUGUGAAUUAGGUCUUGGAAGUUUACCGGAACCAUGAGAAAAACCUCAAUAUUUAAACAACACUUACAGAAUUACAAAGUACUUAUAGAUAAUCUAUAAAAUAAGUUAUCAGAAUGACAACAUAAGUUAAACUCACACCCUUACGAGAUAAAGACCAACCUUACCAACUAACCAACCUUCAUUGAUCUAAUAACACCACCUUGAGUGAACUUAACACAUCUUAUUCUUGUUUGACAUAAUGGUCAUUUUCUUAAGCAAAGCAUAACAACGUUAGGAAAUAUCUUUUCAAGAGAAAAACAACAUUAGGAAAUCCAGCCAUAAUCAAAUGGUGACAACCAUAAGAGGCAAUCUUUAUGACAGCAAAUUGAUGUUUGACACUAUCAAAUAUUUAAGUGAUGAUAAUCAACAUCGUAGUCAAAACAACAAGUAUCUUCAUAUAUAAACGGUGCGCAAUGCCGAGAAAACUAAACUAAAGCUUUUCUAUAUAUAUAUCAAUUUUAUAUCAAUUAUUAAAUAUUGUUAGUAAAUAAGAUUAAAAUAUGCUCUGAACGUAACUCAGUUGGUAGAGAUAUUAGAUGUUGUAUAUAGGGAUCGGGGUUCAAACUCCGAACACUUCACCUCUCCACAAUUAAAUUAUGUGAGCUCUAGUCAUCAGACUAUUUGAACAAACAAAAUAAAAAAUAAAAAUAAAGUCUUUGUAUAAUGUUCUCUGUAUUGUUUCUAGUGUAGCAGGGCAGUUCUUAUAAUGAGCAAAUGGUCUUGUCUAAAAAAAAUUAUCAUCAAAUGCAUUAUUUUCUCUUAAAAAGAAAUUUGGAUUUUUCUAAUGUGUGGAAUGUUGCACAAAGGUACAAACUAUAUUUUACCAAUUAGUUCUCAUUUACCACCGUUAUUAAAACUAAUUUCUCUUUUUUUUUUCUUCCCAUAAAUAAAGACUAUAAUUUCUUAUUCCCCAAUGAUUUUUUUUUAAAAGAUAUGGACAUUAAAAUAAUAAAAUUUAAUGGUACUUCAUCCUAUUUUAAUUUCUUGUUUUUAGGGGACUUCAUCCUAUCAUUUGUUCGCUCAUUAUUGAAAUUGCUACAUGAGCAAAAACAAGAAUGAAAUUCAAUGAGAGAAAAAUCGAAGUUUAAAAUUCAGGGUUGUUUUAGAAAUUUUAGAAAAGGAAUACUAAAAAUCCUAAAUUUCCAAGAAGAUAGGGGCCAAGAACGCAUUAAAUUAAAAUUAAAAUAUUUAAAAUUUAGAAGCUGUUAAUGCUGUCAAUGAGUAAUGCAAGAUGUUACUAUCAUUCGUCCACAUCCAAAAAUAUGAUUUAAUUUAUAUUGUAAUUUCUUUUUUGCUAGUUGGUUAACUCAGUUUUUUAAUUUAUAUACACAUCAUAAAUUAAACAAGCAUCUCAUAUUAUUAUAAAGUACUUAAAAGUGCUUUGAUCAUAUGACAAGAGUCUCUUCUAUCUUAACCAAUGUUUUGAUUUUGAAUUCAGCUUUUAAGCAUGCAGCUGCGUACUCUUAUGAAGAGUUGCCAUUCAUUUGAGUUCUACUAGAUUUAAUGGAUUAGUCUCUACAAAUUAUGCGCGGAGGAUAGUCUUUUAAAAAAAUAUAUUAGAAAGUUGAUCUUGAUCAAUACUUGAAGUCGUCCUGCUUGAAAGUUCUGAAAAUGAAAUUUUGAAUAAAUAAACGCAAAAUGAUAAGUAGGAUAUGAUAUCAGCUUGUGCUUAUUCGUUUCUAUGUAGUUGGUGCAAGUUGUAUCUACUCAAGAAACCUUUUUUUAUGAUAAGCAAUCAAGUGCCCAACAAAACAAUAAUUAGCACCUUGUCAAAGAAACAAAUAAGCUGUAAUAAGCCAAUUAUUUAAGAGCAUGCUUUAAUUUUCAGUUUUCAUGCAUAAAAUAAUGCCAAUUUGGGCACAUAAUCUACCAAACAAUUUUGAAAUUUUGGUUUUAAUAUUCAGGAUGACACUGACUUCAUUCUCCCAUGUACGAGACCUUAAUGUCAGACGUAUAAUUCUCAUAAAAAAAUGAAAAGAUAAGACACAGUUUAAGACAAAAAUAAAGUCAUACAUACAAAUUGUUCAGCUCCCAACAAUGAUCAAAACAUGGACUCUUACCAUUUUUAACAAAGUAGUAAAUUUUAUAAUAACUAGCGAAAAGACGGGCACGUGAGUGUAUGAUUCUUUUUUUUUUUAAUAACACCAACAAUAAUCUUUAUUAUAGAAAAAGCAGGUGUUUAAGAGUAUGAUUGAGAUAAUGAAAAAGUAAGUAUAUGUACACUCAUCUAGUUUGUUGUACUUUUUAAAUGAUAAAGGAAAAAACUGAACACUUGUAUUUGCUACAUUUUUAUUUUAAUAUUUAAAUUUAUUCUUAUCUAUUUGUUACAUAUGUUAUUUAUAUUGAAAAUUGAAGGUAUUUUUGGAAAGAAAAAUCCAACCCAACAGAACUGAAAGUGGUAGUUUUCUUUAUAUAUAGUAUAGAUAAAAAAUGAGUAAAUAUGCAAUACCCCCUUGAAAUUGUAAGUUUCGUCAAUUAUCCCCCUGAAAUUAAUAAAACUUCAAUUACCCCCUGAAAUUGCACAACGUUAAUCAAUUUACCCCCUCCAUCAAAUUUUUCUGUUAGUGAACAUGACAUUUUUCAAAUGCCCCCCGAACUUGAAAAUUUAUAUUUUUUUUAUGUGUAAUGAGAACUAUUUAUGUUCUUUUUUAUUUAUUUAUUUGGGGGAUGUAUGAUAGCACUACGCCAAAAAAGGGAUUUAAUAGCACUUUUUUUUGCUUUUAAUAGCACUUAAAAGUGCUAUUGAAGCCUCCGCUAUUGUAAGCAUACUUCCUUUGAUAGCACUUUUAAAGUGCUAUUAAAAGUGAUUGUCUUUAAUAGCAUCUUCCCUAGAAGUGCUAUCGUUCCUACUUUGGUGCGAGUUAGUGAGGCUUUUUUCAAAUGGAUUUAAUAGUGUUUUUUGAGAAAGUGCUAUCAUAAAUCCUUUCUUUAAUAGCGUUCUUUUUAAAAGAGUGCUAUCGUAAGCCAUCUUUUAUAUAGAAAAAAAAAAUUUUAGAUUUUAAAAAGUAAAUAUUUAAAAAAAAAAAAAAAAUUGCAUUAAUCAUAAAAGUAAACACUUGCAUUAAUCAUAAAAAAAUACUAUAUGAGUCAUUCAUUAUAAAAGAACCUAACAACAAAAUACAACUCAGAUUCCAAUUACAAGUAUGGAAAUUAAAUCUUUCAUCAUAAAAGCAAAAUUACAUCAUUCACAUUUCGUUAAUACAUAGCACUCACAACCAUAAUAAAGAAAUUGCACAUUGGAGAUUCAUUGUACAUACACAACAAUUACACUUGAAAAUUCAGAUUGAUAUGUACCAAAUACUUCAAUUAGCUUAACCUUAUCAACUUUGAGCUGCAAAGAACAAUCACAAAUCAUAUCAAUACUUUAAGUAGUUACGACAAUGUUCACAAAGACAAAACAAACAGUAAUAAUUAGUAGUAGCGAACCCAUUUGGGGUUGGCCUAGUGGUUGGCUUGGGAUCUUGGAGUUUGCUCCUCCAAAGGUCUCAGGUUCGAUUCCCUCUGGUGCCAAUUUCGGUGGGCUAAGUCCAUACAGAGCUUGCUCUGGCUUUAAACGGGGCCCCCGCAAAUGGGCGGUGGGAUUGGUCCCCUCGGAUUAGUCGAUUCUUGGAUCGGAUACCGAGUUUUCAAAAAAAUAAAUAAAUAAUUAGUAGUAGCGGAAAUCACAGUUGAAAUAACUUGUUGAUAUGGUGAUAGUCUUCCCUUAAACUAAGUUAUUAUUACAAAGCAUAAUCAAAAGUAUGUUAGAAAGGUACAAGGUUUUGUGAAUGUAAUCUAGGCUCCAAGGUGUUUUAAAGACAUUCACCACAUGAUGUUCUCUAUAGUUUUAGAAGUUGGUGCCAAAUAGAGAAGUAAAAAAAAGAUAUGUUGCAAUGUGAAUAUAUCUUUUAGUGGAAUAAGUUGUACAUUCAUAAGGUAAAACACGUGAUAACUAUGAAUAUGAAUAAAGGAUCUAGGUAUCUGUCCUUAAAUUUGACAAGUUUGAAUCAAUAAAUUAAUCAAUCAAGGAUCUCAAGCAAUGUGUUUUUGUCUUUAAUAUGAACUAUAACUAUAAUUUAGACAAAACCAGAUCUCACAAACCAAUAUUAGAAACCAAAAUUUGAAUAAAAAAUAAGCUACUAAGAAGUACAAAAUAAUGUCAGUGUAACCACUUAAAUACUUAAAAAUGAAAGAGAGUAUGAAGCUUACUUUGAAGAUCUCUGCAACAACGAUUACAACUGAAAUAAUGUCAUCUCUGAAACGAGACAAUGGGUAUUUCAAGGAGUUAAUUAUAGAAAAAAUAAGUUAUUUUAACAUCAAAAUACAACAAAACUCACAUAUUUUGUCAUCUUUAAGUGCUUGAAUGGUUGGUUAAUGCCACAUUACAACACGUCGCUUGACAUAUACAAGAAAAUAUGAAAAAAGACAAAAGUUAGUCACCUAGAGAGAGAGGUCAACAUCUCAAAAAAAUAAAUAGAAAUAGUGGUCAACUUAAAAGAGGCCAAAGACCAAUUUCAGCUACACAUAUGUAAACUCACUUUCUCCUUUGAUUUAAAAGCUUACUAGUUUGAUACAUACUUAUCAAUUAUCAUCAAAUUUACUGCAGACUAAUUACAAUAAGCAAUGACAAUUUGCAGGAAAAAGAAAAGAAUAACAUUCUAACCUCUCCAAUAAAUAUGGCAGAAAGAAUGAUGGAAAAGGAAGGCUCUAGAGCUUUGGUGUGAGUGAAUGAGAAAGACACAUUUCCAAAGUAUGCACUACAACGAGUAGUGAUAUUGCUGCAAUAUGCAAACAAAUAGUAACACACACACACACAAUCAACACACUAAACUUGAUUAUUAAUAAAAACAGAACUCGAUGAUAGAUUUAGCUCCCUUACAAAGAUUAAGAACCCACACAAAGGUUACAAGAACAGUCCCAACAAUCAGGAACGGAACCAGAAAAUAAUAUUGAGGGUGACCAAGUUAAAACAUGGUAGAUAAACAAAAUCAACUUGUAGAUUUAGGGGCAUUGUAUUUGUGGUUGUUGGGUUCUAGGUGGCUGUGUGAAAAAUGUUUGACGGCUUAAACGCAUUUGGGGGAGGGGGGCAAAUAGCAAAGAAUACAAUAUAGGUCUUGUCAACAAAUUUCUUUGGGGUGGCAACAGCCCCUAUAUGGCUAUACCUAGUUUCGUCCCCGCCAGCAACAAAUUCAACUACAAUCACAGUCACAGGGAAAAGACAAACCUUUAAAACCGACAAAGAAAAUAGUUUGGACGGGACUGUAACACAAUGAGUUUGUAACGAAAUGGAAGGAGAUGAGGAAGCAGACUGUAGCAGCGAAUAGGAACAGCAGCAGAAGCGCAAAUCAGUGGUACAGCAGAUGCAGCGCACAACAGCAGUAGCAAUUAGGAGUAGCAGAACCGCAGCAAAAGCUCAAAGCCGCAGCAGUUCAGUAGUAGCAGCGCAAUCUGGAGGAUCUCAUGAAAAAAAAAAAAAAAAAGAGUAAAGGGAGUGAUAAGUACCAAUUUAUUGUAUGUAUUGAAGUAGAAUUUGAAGAGGUACCAUAACCCGAAUUCGCUGUCCUCGAACCAAUACUACUGGAAGAUCAGAAAACCAACUCAAUUGAAACCCUCAAUUGACUCCAAACGACGAAACAACACAAGCAAUUCUAGAUCACUCCCACCCCAAAACAGAACCGAGACAACAAAACAACACAAAUCUGAUCCACUACUGCAAAAUUCUGCAGGUUAUUUCACACCAAACAUCCCUGCAAUGUUAACAGAACACACCAAAUGCACAAACUUAAGACCAAUUCUAAGCGGCCGCACCUACACUACCAAUAUGGGAAAGGAAAGGAAAAAUAUUUACCUUCUUAUGAAUGGAAGAUUGUGUUCACCACUUGCCUCACAUAGAAUUUGAUUAAUCUGUAUCACAAACCCCAAAUUAAUACAUUAAAUGAAAUCAUUUUAAUUGACAUAUACACACAAUUAUCAAUUCAUAUAUACAUUAGAGUUUCAAGACAUCCCAAUAUCUGUUUGGUACAAUGUUAAAACACUCCAACCUUCACAAUAUUAUUAAUAAGAUAAUCAGUACGCUGCUCCUUAGAACAUUUAGCAAUACACAACUUAAAAUAAUUUCAAAAAAUCUACUUUUCCUAGAAACUGAAAAAAGACGAGGAGGCUGAAAAUCUUAUGAAGGAAGAGGAAGAGCAUAUGAAACUUCAGAAACAUGAAGCUUUGCAAUUGCUCAAGAACAAGGAAAAAACAUAAAACAUGAUCAAGGAAACAAAAUUGGAUCGUCAGAAGAAGAAACAUUAUCAACAGCAGUUGAACCAUAGGCUAAGACACGCCACUCAACAAACAAUCACAUGGGAACCAUCUCCAUUCAUACACAUACAAGGCGAGAACUUCAACCUAUACAAACCCCAACUGCACGUAAACACAAGGCAAGAACAGACCUUGCAAACACAACAUUGAAACAUAUAAUUGCAUUCAAUCACUUCCAUUUUCUUAAAUUAUUUCCUAUAAACAAAAAAAAUAAUAUAAUUCUAUUUACAUUAAAUUACUCUAAUAUACAUACAUCAUCAAAUUGAAAACAACUCAUUCUAAAAAAUUCAAUUCUCUCACCAAAAUCUAUAUAGCACCAACACACUUCGGCUCAAAUGCACAACUAGUGUCCGACAAGGGUUGGCGUAAGUGUUCGACACCAAAAACAACAUCUAUACAUAUCAUUACAGAAUCACUUUCAGUUUCUUAAGUGGUGGUGUCGACCUCUCAAAUUGGGCAAAUUAUAAUCAAAUUCUAUAAAAAAAAACAAAAAAAAACUAAUCAAAUUACAUCACACUAAUAUACAUAAAUAUAUCAUAAAAUUGAAAACAAUUUCUUUAAAACAAACUACUAUCAGUGCACCACCGACACUGAAAAGCUGAUUGAGAAAUCAAAAUAAAAAGAAACUAAUACUUACCAAAUUAGGGUUCAAUUGAUUUCUGAAAGAUGGGGGUUUCAAUCAAUUGAUUCAAUUAGAGUUCAACGAGGGAGAGAGAGAGAGAGAGAGCGUUCAAAUGAUGGGUUAGGUGAGGGAUAGAUCGAUGAAGGUAUGAGGUUAGGGACUAGGGAGAGAGUUCGGCAUUUGUGGACUCCAGCAAAUGAUGUUUUGUAUCUUAUCGUUGAGAGUGAGAUGAUGACAUGGGAGAUAUGGGGUUCGAUGGGUAUGAGUUUGCUGAGGCUGAGAUUCGAAUGAUGUUCAAAGAAGGUCUGGGUUCAAAGUGAGAGAAAAGAAGUUCUUAUUGAUUGUGUGAAAAGAAGUGGGAAAGGAAAAUUAUAUCAGCGCGAACCCAAAAUAGUUUCAGCUUUUUUUAAUUUUAUUUUAACACGCAUGAGAUAGAUAGCGUUCGGUGUAAAGUGCUAACAAAUUAUACCCCUAUGUUAGCGUUUUAGCGGAAAGCGCUAUCCCACUCUUUCUUGAUUUUUUAUUUAUUUAAUUUAAAUAGCCAAUAAUAGCACUUCUUUAGAAAGUGCUAUUUUACAUGUCAACCUAUAUUAGCGCCCGCGCCAAACUGCUAUUAUUUGUACGAGAGUUAUCUCUUAGAUAGCACUUUCUUUAAAAGUGCUAUUAAAUAGGCGCUACUAAAUGUCAAAAUUGGUGUAGUGUAGAAAUAUAACAUAGUGAUUUCCUUGAUGAUUGAUUUAUUAAAUUUAACCUGGAGAAGUGAAUGAAUGAUACCAUUUUAAAAAUAUGAACUAAUUUGAGGUUUGGUCUUUUCUUUUUUACAUUGCAUGUCAUAUUAGAGGAAAAUGCAUAGACUUUAAAUCUUAGACUAUUUGAACUAUUUGGGAAAUGAAAAGCCUUUAUAUUAUUCUAUGAAGUGUGAGUUAUGAUUCAAGGUUCUUGGCUUGUUUUAGUAUCAAAAUGAAAAAAGGCUUGUGUCAUGUUUUAUACAUGAAAAUUAGUUCACAUCUAAUUAUGUACUAAUCUUGUUCUUGUCUUGUGAAGGUGGUGCACACUCCAUAAUUGUGACUUUGUUUAUCCUUAUUGCUAUUCAUGCCAAGUCAAAGCCUGGUAAACUCAAAGUGAUGAGUGUGAAUUCUCUCAGGAUCGUUGUACAUAAUAUAAAUUUUUAAGUUCAUGGGGCAUUUUGCACAUAAGUGCAAAACUUCAUGGGAGUAUUCGUAAAACGUCAUGUUCACUAACUAGAAAAAUUUAACGGAUGGGGUAAAUUGAUUAACAUUGUGAAAAUUCAAGUGGGUAAUUGAAGUUUUGUUAAUUUCAGGAGGGUAAUUGACGAAACUUACAAUUUCAAGGGAUAAUCGCCUAUUUACUCGAUAAAAAAUGAAAGAGUGAUGAUGGAUUAUAAUAAUAUUGAUAAGGAGUGAUGAUGGAUUGUUGGUUUUUUAGAGUAGCACGUUUUAUUUAAUUUUAGAAUAAAUUUGGUGCUCGUGAGCUUAUUUCAACUGGUAAGAACAAUGCAUUAUAUAUGUAAGGUUCGGGAUUUAAAUCUCGGCCAAAAAAAAAAUAAAAAAAUUAGGAUGACUAAGUUCAGGAGAUAAGUUUAAUUAUGUUUAUCCUUUUAUCUUUUAGUAACAAAGUUAUUUAGGAAAUUAUUUUUUCUUUUGGUCAGGUGGUUAGAAUUCACUUUAUAAGGUUAAUAAGUGGCGUAUUCGGAGUUCGAACCCUGAUCCUUGUAUAUAAUAAUUCAUUGUCCUACCAACUGAGCUAUGUUCACGAGACUAUUUAGGAAUUUUAGUAUAACGUUAUCAUUGAUAUUUUAUUGUUGUAUAGUUAGUUAUUUCAUUAUGAAUAUGCAUUAGUUUAUAUAAGCCUUGUACCACUCAUGAUUAGAAUCAAUGAAAAAUUAUCAAUUUUUUCUUCUAAGAUGUCUCUAAAUUCUGGAGUGUGACCCAACUCAAAUUUGAUCAUAUCAUUUGGUGCUUUUAUUGAGAGACAUAUUUGUCAACAAAAGUUUAUGUAUUAAAGGAGAUAUGUGGUUUUCCUUCAAAAAUAAAAGAGUAGUGGUAUUUGUACACCUUUUCUAAAUAACUUCCAUGACAACUUUGUUUUUCUCUAUUUUGAUUGGUCAAAAUCAAUAGAGAGAGAGAGAGAGAGAGAAAGGUAGAGAGAUAAUAAGAAUGUAAUGUGAGUAUGAGAGAUAAAGUUGUCAAAAAGUUGUUAGAAAUUGGUUGUACAAAUAUCAUUUCUGAAAAUAAAAAGGAGGUUUGAGGUUUAUUUGAGAGUGUAUCAUUUUUUUUCUUAUAUAGACGGUUGAAGUUGUCACGUAUACACGAUGCCAUUAGGCGGUUUCACCUUACCUGACGUGUAAUCCCAAUUGUAUACAGUUUCUUCUAGAGUGUUCUCCUCCUCCAUUUAAUUUACACUAUAAUCUCGAGCUCCAACAAAUGCUCUUAUAUCACUUGUUGUGUUCAACGAGCUUAUUACAAGUGUAAAUUAAAAUUCCAAAAUUCAAAAGAAAUUGAAUUAUGCAGUGUAGCAAUAACGAUAAAAAUUUAACACCAAUAUUUAAUAUGAAAACCCCUUUAAUGCUUAAGGAAAAACCAUGAGACAAAUUUUGAAAAUAUUCCACUAUAUUUAAAAAUAUUGCACUAUUCUCUCCACUCUCUUUCACACUCAAGAGAUACAAUAUAGUGUUUUUAGUGAGACACACUCCUAUUUAAAUACAAUUAUUAUUUAUUUUUUCUCUCUCAAUAUCGAAGCUUUGUAUUUGCUUUGAGCUUCGGAUGCUUUGUUCCAUAUACCAAGACCUCUAAUCCUUUAUUUAUAAAUGAAAUGUGGCAAUGUGAAUUCAAUGCUUCUUUGUCAAAUAUUGUAGGAAGCUGAAUGUGAAAUCUGCAAGCUAUAACAAUAUCAGCACCGCAAGCUAUAACAUAGCCUUGGCCUUUUGCCAUAGUAGAAACUUUGGCAAGCUUGUAUCAAUUGUCUUUGGCCGUAAACAACACCCACACGUGGUGGGGACAAUAGUUUAUGACUUUCAGGUUAUCUUUAGGAGAAAAUUUAGGUAAAGUACCUUAUGUACCGGUGGUAUUAUUGUUCCCCAAUAAUAAUAAUAAUAAUAUACGUGUCCUUUUUUAUCAAAAAUUAAAAAAUUAACUUUUCUUCUUUCAUUCCUCCGUCUCGCUAUUUUUACCGCUCAUAGCUACCGUUUUAAGACAUGUUUCAGGUAUGUAACAUGUUCCAGAAAUUAGGUUAGUGUCUUGAACAAAGUAGAUUUCUUGUACCCACAUACUUUAUUUCUUGUUUAUUUCAUGGUUUAGCAUAAGUGGUUGGACUAAAACUGUCAUUUAUAUGCGUUUCUGGAGUUAGAAAUAGGGGGAUAUGACUAAACCUGCAAAAAACAUAUAGUUUAUGGACGAUUUUGUUCGAUUUAAAAGAGGUAGAACCAUUUUCGUGAGUUGAACAAAAUGCGAGGACCAAAAGUGUAAUUAAGCCUUAAAAUUAACUAAAAGUCUUUAAAAUUAUACUUCGACAAAUCUCUACACUAUUUUGAUAGUAUAGUUUAAGGAUCUUUUAUUAAUUUUAAUAGUUUAGAGACAAAUUGAUAAAAUCAUAAUAGUUUUCUGAAACAAAACAAAUAAUAAUAAUGAGGACUAUCUUUCAAAAAAAAUAAAAUAAUAAUGAGGACAAAAUUAACGGUUUAUUCUCUUUGGGCGAUGCUUUGUUCCAAUCAAGCAAUGAAUCCUACCAAUAUCACAUGUAAUGAUUGUAAGCUGUAAAUCAAGGAGAAGAAAUAAAGCACUACACGUAGUAUAUUUAUAUAAUGACAAAAAAUUAUUUGCAAAUUCAACUAACUAUUUAAUUUAUGAUUAUAUAUGAACUUUAAUAUUUUAUUACAUAUAUUUUAAUAUUUAUAUAUUCUAUAUAAUAAAAUAAAUAUUUAUCACGUAGUAUAUUUAAUAGUUUUUUUUUCCUUUUUACAAAAGUAAGUAUUAAAUGUUGUUUUCUCAAAAUUAUUAAGAUGAUACUCUUUUUGAUUUUAUAUAUAAGAGAAAUUUUGAUCAACAAUAAUUUAUAUACUGGUAUAAAAUUUUAAAUUAUAUGUAUCAAGUUUUUUCAACUCACUUUCUUGGCCUAUUAAACACUACAAUAACAUUAAGACUUGAUACAUGAUGUGGUUAUCAAAACCUAAAACCAUUUCUAGUGUUUAGGAUCCAAUAUAUGUUAUUCUAACCUAGACUCAAAAGGUAUUUUUCAAUAACACUUAUAUAGCAGUCUUCAGCUGUCAAAAUUAAAAGGUAUCUAACCUAGAUGUUAUCUAUCUUCAAGCUCUCCUUCAAAAUCUGCAAAGAACACUUAUAUAGCAGUCUUCAGCUGUCAAAGUUAAAAGCACAAAACCAUAAGCAAAAGAUAAAGGGAGAGAAGAGAGAAAGAAACACACCAAUGAUUGUUGACCAAGUUCGGUCCAACUUGACCUAAUCUGGGGAAGAGAUUGAUAUCUCCAAUCCACUAUCAAUGAGUUCUUACAAAGAGAUAUAAAUGAGUUACAAGAAAUUAGCUUCAACAAGUUCACAAAGAACAACCCUAAUUGUAACACCCCGUUUUCCCAAUAUAAAAAUUUCAAACAUAUAAUCAGAGUAAUCAUCAAUUAACGGGAUAUCACAUUCUUAAAAAUCUUAGAAACAUAGAUAAAUAAUAAUUUAUCCUUCAUCAACCAAAUAGCAGCGGAAUUAAAUUCAAAUCAUCAUAAAGUCUUGGCACGUAGGCCUCAUUAAAACAUCUCAUAAAAAUUCAGUUAAACAUCAUAAAUGAACACGUAAAAGAAUGAAGCAUGAAUAACAUAAACCCCAUCCCGUUACGUAUCAGAGCGACCUAGAUGACUCGGUGAGGCAAGGCCAUUGACGACAGCAAACUGCACACUAAGCUCGAUCACCUGCAAGUUACUCAUACGAAGAGCAACAUUUCCAAGCAGAAGGGGUGAGAUUUCACAAAACAAUAAUAUUAAUCAAUAUAAUUCAACAAACGUAAUUAACAGCAUAAACAUCUUAAACAUCAUUGCAUCUUUGAUAAACAAUUAUCAAGUAAUCACUUCAUUCAAUCAUCAUCAAUAUCAUAACAUUUUAACAUCAUUUGACUCGACAAUGCAACAAUGCAACCUAAACCUCUUAUAUGCAUGUGGUACCAAUUCAGGGCAUGAGCCCCCAACAUUAUAGUAUUAAUAUACUUUCAGGGCAUAAGCCCCCAACAGUUUAUUUUAAGCAAAUGCUCCAUCAUGGUGAGUACAAAGCUCCAGGGCAUGAGCCCCCAACAAAUGUAUGCUAAUGCAUGGACUCAAUCAUCUAAAACAUCUUAAUCAUCAUCUCAUAUACAUCCAAUAAUUUGGAGUUCAACAUCAUCUUGUAUAGACUCAUGCAACUUAGUUAAAUAACGAAAGCAGCAUAAUCAGAUCACAACAACAUUAUAACUUCAUAAUAUCAAUUCAUUUUCAACAACAUCAUGAUCAUUCAAUAAUAUCUCAAGUAAUGCAUUUAAUCAUUAAAUCACAUUACAAACAACUUAGCAGUUUAAACAGCCUCACAGAUUUCAGUUAACAUCUUAAAUAUGUCUUACUACUACCUAAAGUUCCAUUCCUAAUCAAUUCAAGCAACUCAGGUCACAACAAUCUCAAUUGCACUCAGUUCUGGAAGUGCUCGCGAGGCGAGAGCAUCUUCUCGCCAUGACGAGUACAAGCCAUAUUUCCAACUCCAGUUGUUCGAAGCUAAACCAGGUUCAAUCUCGUUCUAAAUCAUCAUCUAAUCUUUAUUAAACAUCUUAAGGCACUCAAAAGCAUCUAAGGUUCAACUCAAAAGUCAAAAUUACGAAAUUCAACAUGCUCUCUGGUCAUGCUCGCUAUGGCGAGUAAGGUUGCUCGCUGUGGUGAGCUACGACUUGUAACUCGCAAGGCGAGGGGUAAUGGCUCGCGUGGCGAGCGAUGAACUUCAUCACUCGCGAGGUGAGGAUCAUCGUUCGCCAGGGCGAGCGAUGAAUACAGGCUCGGGCAGAAUUGCAGUUUUUACAAAAAUCCAUCUAAUCUCAUGGUUUAAAGCCUAAUUUUGAUUCCUGAAAUCAUCCUAUUCAUAAUCUAAGGUCAAAGGAUGGUUUUUACACCAAUUUAACAACCUAACAUCAUCGGAUCAUCAAAAUCACCAAUUAACCCUAAUUUCAUAACUUUUCUAAUUCAAUCCUAACUUUGUUAAUUGAUCAUCAGAAUUAUAAGGAUUAAUACUACUAAAUCAUUAGUCUCACCCUUACCUUGAAUGAAGAAAAUCGCAGCACUCUCUCUGGUCUUCUCCCUUCUCUGGCUUUUUCUCCCUUUUCUCCAAAAACAGUCGUACGUACAAAACGUUUUCUAAAACCUAGGUCUUUCCUUUUUAUAUCUCCUCCUAAUAUAUUAUCUUAUCUCACUUUCUCCCCCAAAACUCUCUAAAAUCUCAAAACAACCCUUAACUAAAUAUUUUAUUUUAUUUUCAAAUCUUAUUUUAUUAAACAAUAAAAUAAGUCUCAUAUCUCAUAAAAUCAUCAAAACUCAUAGCUCAUCUAAAAAUCAUCCAAAUCAUCUGAAAUCGUCAUAAAUCAUCAAAAUUCACAAAUAUAUUAUAUAAAUAUAAUAUAACUCGUCUAAACUUGAUUAAAUAAAAGUGGGCGUUACACUAAUUUCUACCAAUUUUCCCAAUCUCACCAAUGAACAAGACACUCGAUGAUUUUCACUCACCCAAUGUGUUUACAAUGUUUCCCAACCCAAGAGAACUCUAAUCAAAUAUCAUCAACCCUAAAGUUACCUCCUUUGAUUUCCCAAGUUUAUCUCUCUUCAAGCUCUCCUUCAAAAUCUGCAAAGAACACUUAUAUAGCAGUCUUCAGCUGUCAAAAUCGUGUCACGUUUUCCCAAAUCGUGACACGUUUGGUGCGUACGACCCAAGGUACGACCAAUCUUAUCCUGAAAACUUGCCCAGCAAGCUGAAAAUCGUGUCACGAUUGGGCACCCUGCAAAACAGCUCUCGACAUUGCAAAAUCGUGACAUGCUUCACAAAUCGGGUCACGAUUCCAAGUUUUCCUUUCUUCACAAAUUUGAAGAUAAAUACAACAUACACAAACAUUUAACAUGAAGACCCCUUUAAUACUUAAGGAAAAACCAUGAGACAAAGUUCAAAAAUAUUCCACUAUUUUAAAAUAUUGCACUACUCUCUCCACUGAUCUCUUUCACACUCAAGAGAAAUAAUAUAGUGUGACACACUCCUAUUCAAAUAGAACUUUUUUUCUUCCUCUCAAUAUCGAAGCUUUGUAUUUUCUUUGAGCUUCGGAUGCUUUGUUCCAUAUACCAAGACCUCUAAUCCUUUAUUUAUAAAUGAAAUGUGGCAAUGUGAAUUCAAUGCUUCUUUGUCAAAUAUUGUAGGAAGCUGAAUGUGAAAUCUGCAAGCUAUAACAAUAUCAGCACCGCAAGCUAUAACAUAG